Molecule: non-coding RNA, 1106 nt
Organism: Penaeus vannamei (Pacific white shrimp)
Lineage: Eukaryota; Metazoa; Arthropoda; Malacostraca; Decapoda; Penaeidae
Source: RefSeq, a predicted model, not a curated record
CCGGCAGAUACAUUGAUCAACUACCGUAACCGCAAAAAACUGCACCAUCGAGUAUUCCUCAAGAUGAACUUCUUCCGUGUCCUCGUGGUGCUUCUCGUGAUCAUGGGCAGCCUCAGCGAUGCCGCUCCCUUCUUCCGAAGGCGCGGAGGCAGGCGCGGCGGUGGCGUGAGCAAAACGAGCUUCGGUUCUGUGGGCAUCGUUGGGAAUCAAAUAAACGUCGAUCCUUACUCCGACAUUGGCUCGGAUGUGUUCCCAAGGGUGCCCCUUUUCGCAAUCUGAGAAAAUAGUGUGAGAUGGAACCGGGCUGUUCCAUCUCGCAGGUUGCACAACUUCAGGCGUCCACUUAAUGGAAAAAGUUCAUCAAAUGUCGUACAAGCCAAGCGAUUAUAAUUGCACUGAUUUCCUUGAUUAGCUGCAGACUUCGGAGAAAACUAUGAAGGAAAUUAUUUUCUGACGUAAUGUAUUCUGAUUUCUGUAUCGUGCAAAUAGUUUUACAAAGCGAGGGAGGUCGCCACUCCUGAGCCUCUCACGUGAAUACUCCUAGGUAUCUUCCUACCAGUGUACUCUUACAGGUGGCAGUAUACUGUUAUAAGUAUUAAUACUUUAGUCACAGUCUGACUAAGGCCGGAAAGAGAGUAGUGCAUAUGUACAGUUCCUAUACUCCGCAUUGCCACUGAGUGAACCAACGAUUUCAUCUCUCCACAGUGAGUAGGAGCUGUGUGGCUCGGAUGCAAGAGUCGAAACUGCCUUAAUACGUUGGCAACACCGUGGUGAACUUUGAAGCAGACGCAGUGUUGGGCAUCGAUACACAAAAUUGUUUAAGGCGUUGCUGAUAUAUCGAUAUUUGUAAAUUGGCUAAAGUGAUGCAUCGAUUCUUCGAUACUAAUACAUGCAUGGCCGAUACAUUAUUAAAAAAUAAUGAGAGAGAAGAGAGAGAGAGAGAGAGAGAGAGAGAAUGAAAGAACGAGAACAGAGAAUGAGAGCUUAGAGAGUGAGAGUUAGCGGGUGUGUAAGUAAUAGAGAGAGUCAAAAGUCAUGUAAAUGCACCAAUGCCCAUCUCAAGUGGAGGGAACACUUUUGUAUUCAGAUAAAGGUGAUGACCAGAA